RNAcentral lists this non-coding RNA (46 nucleotides) under Trichobilharzia regenti. The record is from RNAcentral. Lineage: Eukaryota; Metazoa; Platyhelminthes; Trematoda; Strigeidida; Schistosomatidae.
GUGCUGAUGAAGAAUCCCAGAUUAGGACGAAACAACUGUCCAGUAC